CAUUGCUAUUUCUCUAGAUGGUUGUUUUUAUUUCGCCAUCCGUCAUGAUAAAAACUGGCAUAACCCAGAGCCUGACUGUUUACUGUCGUUGGAUGAGUGCUUCUUAUGGUGACACACCCAUUCUAUUGAGUAAAUGCUAGGCUGCAGCAGGCUGGGGAGUUGUGACUGUCAGCAUUCCGAAAAGGGACUUAUAACAACCAUGGUGCCGUUGCAGAUAAUUGUAGGUAUUUUCGUGGUCUCAGUAGGAAUAGAUUUUUGCCAUAAAUCUUAUGGGGGUGUGUAUUCUGGUUUUCUAGAAAAUCAGGCACCUCCAGGUGUGCUGAUCUUACGAUGCCUGGAUCAUCACCUGUUGGAGAAGGGAUCCUGGCCCUCUUCUCCCACAUGUUCCUGGAAGGACCGGAUACCUUGUACAGCUGUACUCUGCCUCAUCUCUAUUCCUAAAGAGAGGAGAUGGGUUAAUAGCUAUAUAGACGGAAAAUUGUUUUCAGAAGGAGUUGGGAACAGAGCUGUAAAACCGUAAUGUCUUCCAGACCCACUUUUUUUGGUCAUCCAGGCAAUCACAACAGACGCUUGGUAUUAUAUUCAGAGAGAGGACUUUUCUUCCCUUUUCCAAGUCCUCUCAAGAGCCCGACUUCUUUUAAUAUAGCAUCUCUUCGUACUUGGCUUCUCAAGCAAGAGACUCAUCUUAAUAUUUUUGUAAGUGAGCUCUCUCUAUCAUUUGUCUUCACUCAGAUUUUCCUAGAUCAGCUCUUCCCUUCCAUUUAUGACAAUUUUAGAUUCUCAGAUCACAUUUUUUUCUCGUCUCUCUUCUGUCUUCAGAUUACCCAUCCAAAAUACCUUUGUUCAUACUUGAUACCUGCAUCAGUCCCCCAGGGAUAUUUUGGGUUUCCAGGUCCAUUCAAUUGCCAGAUUUUCCUACUGCUCUCUUGCCUGUCUACACGACCUGAUCAUUCGAAUCUAUUUUAGAAUUCCUUGGCUUUGUUUCAGUUUUCCUUGUCAAAUAAAGUUCCCUUUCUUAUUAUACAAGUUCUACCUCUUCACUGACUUUUUAAAGAAAACAUACGCUUGUCAUUUAGAUCCGACCUAUGUCAUUUAUGUCUGUAAAGUUAUUCUUAUUUCACUGAAUUGGUCUCCAUUUACUCACCUACUCUUUAAUUUCGCUACUGGCAUUUUUAUUGAGCAGUUUUUUUUUCUUCCUUCACUGUUUAAAAGUUUUCAGCCCUAGCCUUCUAGAUGGGGGCAAACCCCCAUUCUUUUUCUUGGGUAAUAUUUUCCAGUCACUUACAUGCAAGGGCAACUGGUUCUGCCACAGAACUUUUUUUUUUUUUUUUUGAGCUACUUAACUAACCGCAUUAACUUUAUCAUAAAAAUAUCACCAGCCCCUGAGAGAAAAAGAACCAGUGGGAUCUCAAGGAAUAACUGACCACCGUGAUUGUGCCACGGAAUCCUCAGACACACAGCAUCUUCACCUCGCUUUCUCACUCUUUAAGUGGCUCUUGCUUUCUGAUAUCUCACUUUUUCAAAGUUUUUCAGGCUUAUGUAAGAGCUGUCUUUUUAUUUUUCCUUUCCCUGAUAAUGUUCCAUAUGCUUUUGGAGCUACUUUUAGGCUAUUUACGUAUAUUUUGUGGCACGUAAGGAGCUCUUUGAUGAAGUCGAUGAUGUGACGAACUAUCAGUUGGAACAAUUAGUCAGGAAUCUUUCUUCCCUAGAGCUAUGGCAUUAGACCAGGGCUCAAAUGGGUGUCUGUUGUAGGUGGUGUCUGAUCUGUUCUACUCAAAGUUGUAGUAUAUUAGGAAGUAAUUCUAUGACGAAAUUGGCCAUCAGAAACAAAAUCGUGCCAUUGAAACGUUUCAGAAGUGAAACGAACCUCAGUGUUAUCACUCCCUGAUUUUAGGGUGAGGACGCCAAGUUUUGGAGAGCUUGCUUGUCCAGACUCACUGAUGGCAAACGGGCAGAGCAGAGCAAGUAGUGCCCCCUGAGAUCUAGUGACGUUCAUUCAAAGUUCAGAUGCUUAACAGCAGAUCACUUUCCAAAUUCCUGAGACAUGUUUCUCUGCUACCCCUUGCCCACUUUAUCCAUUAUGAAGAAAGCUUUCUGACUUCUUCAAGGAAAAUUCUGGAUUUUUUUCAUGUCUGUGUUAUAACCUCACAAACAUGAGCUAUUAUCUGGUGCGGUAAUACUAUUUAGUGUAAGUUUUAUUUGUUUAGUUACAGCAAUACAAUAAGGCCCAGAGCUAUUGGUUUUGUUUUCGUUUUUGUUUUGUUUGUUUGUAUGUUUGUUUGUUUUAACCUUUCUCAAAUAAGCUUUUUCAAACUUUCCUGAAUCCACUUAUCCGUAUUUCCUUCUGCUUUAGUUGCACCUUUUAGCUUUUGCCACUUCUAAUCUCCUGUAGGUGGAGGACUAUUCAGGUCAAUACUAUACAUGAAAGAAUAUUUACUAAGCCUCUUAAUGAGUGCUUGGGGACAUGAUACAGGCUCUCCUAUUGCAGGAAGGGGGACCCCUUCCAGGGCCUGAGCACGGGCUCUUGUCUAACACUUGGAAAUCAAAUGUACAAAGAGACACAUGCGCUGACAAAGCAAAACUUUAUUGAGAAGGGAGCCCAAGCGGAGAGCAGCAGGGUGAGGGCACCCAGGAAGACCCUUCUGCCACGUGGCUCGCAGUCUCAGGUUUUAGGGGAAUGAGGUUAGUUUCCAGGUUGUCUCUAGCCAGUUGUCUUGCUUGGCCCACCCUUGGCCUGGUUCAGGGUCCUUCUUGGUGACACAUGUACCUCUCAGCCAAGAUGGAGUCCAGCGCCAAGGAUUCUGGAAGGUUGGCCGUCUCCUCUGUCCUACUGACCCCUCCUUGGUCCUCCUCUUAGUCUUCAGAGCAGCACCACAUUCCUUAUCAGGGCCUCCAGCUGUGCUGUGAGACACCUCGCGCAAGCAGCUAUUACUGUGCUUGGCCCACGUGGGUGCUUUCAUUCAGUGGUCCCCUAACCCGCCUGCGGGAGCAGCCCCCUUUCCUAUUUAUCUUUGAAGUGGGGACGAUGAUCUUGAGGUCGCCAAGGCAGUGGAGAAGAGGGCGUUCUUCUCAUCCAAACCCACUGAGAGGGCAUGCAUAUCCACCCAUAGCACUUGGGCGAGGACAGGUCCUAUCUCUGCAUUUUGAAUCGAUGCCCCCAGUGUUAAUAUUCCAACCCACGGGCCUGGGAGAAACCUAAAAUUCCUAUUCUUUUUCAAACAUAUUCCAGUUUAUAAUCCUGACUCCCUUCUUAGGUUCUAGGAUUUUCCUUAGACCAACAAACCGCUCCAUUUAGAAAGGAAUGAACAGGGUAGACUCGUGUGAGAGUCAGCACGUGAGAUGUGUUCAGAAGUCCUGUGCCCUUGAUCUGGGAGGGAAAGCACCAUUUGUCAGGGAUGCCGGCUUCCCUGGCUUCCCCUUGCUGAGCAGGUAAAUGAAGAUGUUAGAGAGGGGCCUCCAGAGCAGCCGUGCCACCGGGCAGAUCUUUCUUUGUGAGUAGCGAAGCCCUGUUCUUCCCAAAUGUCAGAGUUCUUGGAACGAAGCAAAUGCUUUCAAUGACCUCUUCCACACAUUGGCUUCUCCCGCUAUCUCCCUCCCUCCCUCCCUCCCUCUCUCUCUCUUUCUCUCUUUCUCUGUGUGUGUGUGUGUGUAUGUGUGUGGAGAGAGAGAGAGAGACAUUUCCAGACAGUGAUUGUAAAGUCAAGUCAAAAGAAGGAAGCUGUGAACUGCAGUGGAUCCAGGCGUGACUGACAACGAGUACUAGAAAUUCCAAAAGUUCAAAAUAGCAACUGGGCUGUCUCACUAUGUUUUCUUAUUAACAGGGGUGAGUAGGGGAAAAAAUGUCAGUAAUCGUACAUUAAUUUCAGAGUCAGAGCCACCAUGGCUCUGUGAAUUCCACCUAUCACAUAGAAUUGAUUCUAGGAAACCCUUCUUUUUCCUCUGAUUUCUGUAUAUCAGUGGGUUCAAAUACUCUACUCUUCUGUCUACCCAGAUGCGAAAACAAUAACCUCAAACUAGAGUGUCAGGUUGUUUGGGUAUUAGCUUUUCCGAAAGGGCAUCACUUUUGCUAGUACUCUUUCUGCCUUCUAUAGCUCUUUUUCUGUCGUGAACUGACACUGAAUUCUGUGAAGUUCGGACUGAUCUGGAAUUCUCCUUUGGAAUAAUUUCAUGUGGUAUUUUUGUCUGUUUAGCAUUUAUUAGCUCUGAUAUAUCUGCUCUGGUGUAUCUUGUCAAUAACAUACUUAUGUACACGGUUCUGAUUGUUUUAAUGUGCUAAAUUUCAGUCUUCGAGGCCCUGAAAAGCUGGGCUAAGAACCUGCAUUAAACGCUGCACCUGAGCUCAUCCUCAGGCUCAUCAAUAUGAUUAAUUUGGAAGAGAGUGAGUUCACGUGAUAUUUUCCUCUUAUAUUACCUAUAAAUAAUAUUUGCUGCUCGGUUUUUAAAAUAUAUUAUAAACCCUGGUCUUUUAUCAUCUACUCUGUGUAUUUUUUAACAUUCCCAUAGAUUUUAUUUUAGCACGAGAGUGACCUCCAUGUUUUUAAAUGUUUUCAUAAAUGCUCUGCAGCUUUUUUUCCUCUUACUCAUCAACAUUCCUUGUCCAGAGGAAGGCAAAGAGGAUGAGAAAGAGAGAGAGAGUAGCAUCUGCUUCUUGAAAUAAACGAAAAAUCCUUGAAGGAAAAACUGACUUGCAAAAAAGAGGGAAUAGACAAGGGAACGGAAAUAACUGACUUGAACUGUAAUAAAUGAAACUGAAGUUUUAUGUUUUUCUUGACAAUCAACAUUUUAAUUAAAAAUUUUAAAGACUUUAAAGACAUGCAAUGCCCUUCAAGUAAUAGUCUUUAAGGUCUUCAGGCUGCUUGGCUCCCUCGUCAUGGAAUGAAUGAGCAGAAAUUCAGAGACAUCAUUUCAGGAAAAAAUGAUCUCAAGACUUGCGAGAGACUAAGAGUCUGUGUUUCUGACAAGGGACCCCAAGAACCGUGUGCUCUGCGUACUUUCCCCCAGGCUGGGCUCACGGGCGGUAACACUGUUCUCAGAAGUAGAGCUGAGGCACCGCAGGAAGAAGCGCAAGGGAGCUGGAGGGUUAGGAGGCAAGUGAAAGCUCUUCUGUCAUUAGCUAGAAGAGUUCUCAGGGAACUGUCAAAACCCAACCUGGGGCUGGUCUCUGGGAAACUGUGACCACUUUAGAAAAUGGGAAAAUAUCUAGAGGUUGUUUCCAAACGUUAGUUCCCAACCCCUUUGCAUUCAUCGCUGAGAGCUCACAGAAGUAAUGGCUUCCCUUGGCCACACUGGCGUGUUUCCUCCCUGUUGGCUUCUGGUGCUGUCCUUGCUUCUCGUGGCUCCCCUUGGGGCUCUGGCUCAGCCAGGGGUGUGUAGGCCUGACGUGCCCCAGUGUGAUCACAAGUCAGCCCUGGCUCUCCUGUGUGGUUCUGCGUUGUGGCUUCACCCGCCCCUGGGUUGCCCAUCUGACCUCGUGCCCCAGCAUUCCUGUACUGUUCCCUGGCCUCUCUCCUUGAGAGAAGGGAUCCCUCCUUUGUUUCAUGGGAGAAGAUACGUGAUCAGCUCCGAUCCUCCCUUCCUGGUUUCUCCCCUUGUAAGAAUCACCAGCUUAACUCAGGGAUCUACUCUUGCCUGCAUUUCUGUGCUGCCAUGUUUGGUCACACUGCCCACUACGGCAUUCAUUCACUUCUUUAUUUUUUUUAUUUUUUAAAUUAUGGUUGAUUUACAAUGUUCUGUCAAUUUCUGCUCUACGGUAAAGUGACCCACGUAUACAUACAUAUUCACUAUGGCAGGCCUUAACUUUUCAGGUCCCAUCUAUGUCAUGGAAAGUCAUAAGAAUUAUGUAAACCUGUCUGCCAUUCCCAGGCUCUAAUACAUUCAUGCAUGGUAUCAGUCAGCUGACAAAUUAACAUUAGAAAGCCAAUUACGUACUCAUAAUUGUGGCUCCUCAUAAUUGUGAUAGGCAAGGGAGGGCUUACAGGACAAAUACAUCAAUGUUGUUGGCUUUAAAGAGCUUAUUUUAAUAUUGUUGAGAGAGAAGUUAAGUUUGUGUGGACAGACUGGUCCUUUUCUAUGAAACACGCAGUGCUCCACUGCAGCACAGGACUAGAGAAAAACUCCCAGGAGGAGCUGUGACCUAGGGGACUACAGUUUGGACUCUGACAUUUUCCCGGUUGACGUUGUUGUCUUCUUAUGCGUUGCUUCUGAUGCUUUAUUGUGUGUCACACCUUCAUUUCCUCCAGGCCAAUCAAAUAGCAACAAUCUCUUCUCGUGUUCACUGUAUUUAGCAUGAUAGGGAAUAUAUAGAUUUUUCACUCUCAAAUGUGUUAUUAAAUCACAGGUAGAAUAAAAUAUUAAUAAACAACAAUAAAUUCUAACAUCUUGGGAGGUGAUUUACUAGGGAUGGUACUGUCUGGUGUAGAGGGGAGAGGGCAGAGUUUUGCAGAAAAAGUGAGUUUCAGGAGGAUUGUGAGUCAUGAAUAACAUGUGGUAAUCCAAGGACAGUUCUUCCCUUUGCUCUUCUGGGCUCUAGCAGGAAAGAAAAAUUUUUGGAUUCUAAGGGUACUUGCAAAAGGAAAAAAGAAACAUAAUCCGUGUUAAAAUGUCCCAUAUCUUCCAUUUACCCAGAACCUUCUCUAGGCUGGAAACCCUGUGCAGCCCUGCACGAACCUCCUUCCCUCUCCCUGGCCAGUGACCUUUUGGCCAUGUGCUGUUGGGGGUCAUCUUGUUUUCCAGCAUUUUGGAACCCGUCAAUGUGAAUGACGUUCUCCACUGACGAACAGACAACAAUGGAGACAAUCAAGUCUUUUCUCAUUUGAUGCCUCCCCCGCAUGUCCCAGACACAAAGGAAAAUUCACCUCAAAUUUCUCCUCAGAAGCUCUUGCCUGCUUCACAACUGACUUGUAGCUAGUGAGCACUAAAUAACACUUUAUCUCUUCCUGGAUUAGGUUUCCAGUCCUGCCUCUCCAAAAAAACUUCAAAAAAAAA
This 6984-nucleotide long non-coding RNA is filed under the name Sus scrofa (pig). RNAcentral's name for it is "lncRNA (ENSSSCG00015060407.1)". Lineage: Eukaryota; Metazoa; Chordata; Mammalia; Artiodactyla; Suidae. The record is from RNAcentral.